Molecule: ribosomal RNA, 424 nt
Filed under: uncultured bacterium
Lineage: Bacteria
Description: bacterial SSU rRNA
Rfam family: Bacterial small subunit ribosomal RNA
Source: RNAcentral
UGAGGAAUAUUGGUCAAUGGGAGAGAUCCUGAACCAGCCAUGCCGCGUGCAGGAAGAAUGCUCUAAGAGUUGUAAACUGCUUUUGUACCGGGGUAAAAGACUUUACGUGUAAGGUUUUGAAAGUACGGUACGAAUAAGGAUCGGCUCACUCCGUGCCAGCAGCCGCGGUAAUACGGAGGAUCCGAGCGUUAUCCGGAUUCAUUGGGUUUAAAGGGUGCGUAGGUUGUCUUAUAAGUUAGCGGUGAAAUACCGAUGCUCAACAUCGGGGCUGCCGCUGAUACUGUAAGACUAGAGAGGGGAUGCAGCAGGCGGAAUGUGUAGUGUAGCGGUGAAAUGCAUAGAUAUUACACAGAACACCGAUUGCGAAGGCAGCUUGCUAGGCCCGCUCUGACACUGAUGCACGAAAGCGUGGGGAUCGAACAGG